CCUUGAAAAAGAGGAAUACAGGACUUCCCUGUUGGCGCAGUAGAUAAGAAUACGCCUGCCAAUGCAGGGGACACGGGUUCAAGCCCUGGUCCAGGAAGAUCCCACAUGCCGUGGAGCAGCUAAGCUCGUGUGCCACAACUACUGAGCCUGCGCUCUAGAGCCUGCACGCCACAACUACUGAGCCCACGCGCCACAACUACUGAAGCCUGCAUGCCUAGAGCCCGUGCUCCACAACAAGAGAAGCCACCACAAGGAGAAGCUCACACACUGCAACAAAGAAUAGCCCCCACUCGCCACAACUAGAGAAAGCCUGUGCACAGCAAUGAAGACCCAAUGCAGCCAAAAAUAAAAUUAAAAAUUAAAACUUUUUUUAAAAAAAGAGGAAUACAUUUGGAGGACUCAUACUAGCUGGUCUUAAGACUUACUACAAAGCUAUAGUAAUCAAGACAGUGUGGCAUUGGUCAAAGAAUAGACACAUAAAUCAAUAAAUCACAACAGAGUUCAGAAAUAGACCCACACAAAUAUAGUUAAUUGAGUUGACAGAGUGCAGAGACACUUCAGUAGAGAAAGAUUCGUCUUCAAUAAAUGAUGUAGCAACAACUGGACAGCCAUGUUUUAGGAAAUGAACCUUGACCUAUACCUGUCAUACAAAAUUUAACUCAAAACCAAACAUAGACCUAAAUGAAAAAUUAUAAAACUUUUAGAAGAAAACAGGAAAUAAAUCUUUGUGACCUUGUGUUAGGCAGAGUUCUUAGCUACAACACCAGAAGCACAAUUCAUAAAGUUAAAAAUUGAUAAAUUGAACAACAUCAGAAUUAGAAACUUGAUCUGUGGAAUUAAGAAAAUAAAAAGACAAGCCAAAAACAGGGAGAAAAUACUUGCAAAUUAUAUAUCUGACAAAGGUUUAUAUCCAGAAUAUAUAAAGAAUCCUCAAAACAAGAAAACAGUCAACUCAGUUUAAAAAAAUAAAGAUGAAAAGACAUUUCACCAAAGUAGAUAUACAAAUGACAGAUAAGCAAAUGAAAAGAUGCUCAGUGUCAUUAGUUGUUAGGGAAAUGCACACUAAAACCACGAGACAUGGAUAGACACCUAUUAAAGCGGCUUAAAAAAAAAAAACCCUGAACACAGCCUGACAAUACCACAUGCUGGUGAGGAUGCAGAGCAACUGGAAUGCUCAUAUGUUAUGGUGGGAACACAGAUGAUGUGUUUCUAAAGAAGAAAAAGCCACAUGAUCAUCCCAAUAGAUGCAGAAAGAAUAUUUGACAAAAUUCAAUAUCCAUUCCUAAUAAAAACUCUCAGCAAAUUAGGAACAGAAGGGAACUUCCUUAACCUGAUGAAGGGAAACCACAUAGAAACCUACAGCAGACCUCAAACUCAAGAGUCAAAGACUGACUUCUUAUUUUCUAAGAUUGGGAACAAAGCAAGAACGCUGGCCACUAUGGAAAACAGUUUGGUAGUUUCUUAUAAAGUUCAACAUGUUCUUAUCAUACAGAAUCCCAGUCUCACUCCUAGGUAUUUACCCAAGAUAAAUAAAAAUCUUUGUUUAUACAAAAACUUGUACAUGAAUAUUUAUAUCAACUUGAACAAAACAAAACUAGAAACAAUUAAAAUGUUCCUCAUCUGGGGAUGGAGGGACCAAUGUGGUAAUCCAUGCAGUGCUUCUGCUCCACAGUGGGAAGGAAUGGACUGCUGAUGCCCACAGCAAACACAUGGGUCUCAGAUGCAUGCUGCUGAUUGAAAGAAGCCAGACUCAAAAGGCUGCAAACCUUUUGCUUUAUUUAUGUGACAGUCUGGAAAAGACAGAACUAUAGGGAAAGCGUUUUGUCAGGACUUAGGGGACAUUUCCACGACAUUGGGGUAGCACAGGGAGGGCAUUGGAACUGUUUUGUAUCUUGGUUGUGGUGGUGGUUACACAACUCUACGCAUGUGUCAAAACUCAGAAUUGUGAACCAAAAAGAGUGAAUCUUAAUCCAUGUAAAUUUAUAGCUAAAAAAUUUUAAGGUAAUAAAUAUUCAGAACAUAUCCUUUCCUAACGUUUGACUGUUAUCUCUGCUCCUGAGAUUACUUCCGUCUAUUGCAUCUAGUGGUGGAAACGCUUCUCUUCCUGCGCUUCUGUACUUCUCUUACCAGUUCCACCGUCAGGACACCACGUGGGUGGCUGGAAAUCUGAUGUGGUGGGAGUAUUUACACCAUAGAAGUUGGGAAAUGCUAUAGACCAAGGCUUAAUUUAUUGUUUUGUUGAUUGUCUAGACUUGAGAAAGUGAUGACGAAAACGUUAAUGCCAAUUAAACUUAAAGUGUCAUCUAUACAUAGCACAAAAAAUUGAGGAAAUUGUCUUACAAUAUUUGACAGCUAGUACUGAUUCAGCAAAGAAGUCACUCACUGACAAGUAAAAUUCUCACACAUAUAUUUCUGUUGUUUUACUUCCGUACUCCUUAAGGUAAACAAAAAUAUCAACCAAUAUUCAUGUCAGAGCUAGACUGCUGGCUGCAACCAUAGGUUGGCUGUGGAUGCAAGAGUUCAGGAAAAAUCAAAGCCUCAGUGGAAUUUAGAGUAAAGAAUAUUGCAUAUUUUGUUAUUUGGGAAUUGUGUGCUAUAAUUCCUUUAUAGGAGUAAAAUGUAUAACGAAAUGUAUGGUUAUAUAUGCAGUCUCUCCCAACCCCACCCUGAAAAGCUGGUUGUUGCACAUUAUCCAGCAAACCACUGCUUAGGAAUCACUGGAAACAAGGAAGAGAAGAGGACCAAGGUCAGAGGCCUGGACCAGCUCAACAUUAGAGAUCAAGAGAAAGAGCUGGUAAAGGAUAUCAGGAGCAGGGGAGCUGGCCAGGCCUCACCGGAGGAGGUGUCAUGGAGGGAGAUGAUACUGAGGGUCACCGCUGCCCUGGCUGAGAAGCAAGAAGCCUCAGGAUGCUGAGGGGAGACAGUUCUCUUGGCGGUAGCCAAGGGGCAGGAGCAAAUCCCCCCAAGGACAUGGUGAGAUCAUUCACUCUGGUGGGAGGCAGCUGCCAUGGGAAGGCCCACCUGGCAUGAACCGAAGCCUUCUGCCCACCUGCCACGUGAAAGAGCCUGGAAGUGGACCCUCCAACUCACAAGCCUCCAGAGACUGCAGCCUCGUAAGAGACCCUGAGUCAGAACCACCCACUAAGCUGCCCCUGGAUUCCUGACCUUCAGCAACUGUGAGGUGAUAAUUGUUGUCUUAGCUGCUAAGUUUUAGGCCAGUUUGUUACACACUAAUAGAAAUUAAUGCGGCGAUGAGGGCUUAGACCAGGUGAUGGCAAGUGGAACUGGUGAGAAAUAGUUGGACCCAGCAUGUAUUUCAAAGGGAAGAAUCUGGACAGGUCCAGUUUGAGAUACUUACGGAGACAUUCAAGUGGAGACUUCAGGAAGCACGCAGUUAUAAAAGUCUCGUUCUGGGAGAAGUUGGCAUUUGGAUGGUAUUUAAAGCCAGGAGUCUGGCUAAGAUCAGGAAUCAGCAGAAACAGAGAAGAGGCCCAGGGGUUGAGCCCUGGGACAGUGCAACUUAGAACAACUAGGAAGAGGAGGAGAAGGAGCUCCCAGUAAGGAAGACAGGAAACGAGGGCGAGGUGCUCUGGAGGACAGGGGAGGAGCUGUCACGAGGGAGGGCGUGUUCACCUGGGCCGCUGAUAGGGUGAGGACAGUAAGAUGGAAUGGAGGAUGGUGAUAGGAUGGUGGGGCAGAGAGCUGACUGGAUGGCAGGGACGGAAGUGAGGAAGAGGAGACAAGGACUACACACAUUUCUUUAGGGAGUUUUGCUUAAGUGGGGAUGUUGGCUAGGAAAAGACAUGGGGUUGAGGAGGCUGGGUAUCUUUAAGGCAGCCGUUACCAUGGUAUGGUUGCAAACUGAUGGGGAUGAUUCAGCAGAGAGGGGGUGACAUCCAGGGAAAUGUCAAGGAUGCCUCCGAGGUUCUGACCUGCACCUUGAAGCACGGACAUGUGAAUUCCCAUUGUGGGCAUGGCCUUCCCUGCUGGGCUGGCACGGAAGCUGCAAGGAGGUGCGGCCCUCAGCCUAGAGCCAUAGGCAUGGUCUCCUCACUGGGCAGUACGGUCCAGGGAACGAGGGACAGCGGGAGGGCCCAGAGCACUGCAGAUGCUGCAGGCAAAUCCAGGAGAUGUUUAAUGUAAAACUAGACUCCACUGGAAGGCAAAGAAAAGGACUCUGGCCCCUUAGACUUGGUUUCAUUUUGGACUUUAUUGGGAAAAGUUAGUGUAAAAAACAUUCAAAUUCAUAAAAUUUAAAUAAGAAAGUAAAAUUAUACCUUGUAGCUAUAGUAAUCACAAAUAAGGUAAGUCUAAAUUACUGCCUAAGCAAACACUAUUUUGUCAGGCUUCUCUCAUAAGCCCAAGGCAGGAAACACUGCAAUUAUUAGAAGUGAGCCCAAUGAUGAAUUUGCAUUGCAUUUGAAGCUGAAGAAAGGGAAAAAAGCAUGUUCUGGUUACAGCAUCACAACAUUCUAGCCUGAAAAAAGCAACUUUAUUCAUGUCCUGCAGCAGAGUACAUUAGUUAUUGUAACCAUGCAUUAAAAUUCUCACAUCAUAAA
Long non-coding RNA from Lagenorhynchus albirostris (white-beaked dolphin), 4559 nucleotides. RefSeq lists it as uncharacterized. Lineage: Eukaryota; Metazoa; Chordata; Mammalia; Artiodactyla; Delphinidae. The transcript is spliced from 3 exons. The record is from RefSeq and is a predicted model, not a curated record.